UACGUAGGGGGCGAGCGUUAUCCGGAUUUACUGGGCGUAAAGCGCGUGUAGGUUGUUGCGUAAGUUAGUUGUGAAAUCCCUCGGCUUAACCGAGGAACUGCAGCUAAUACUGCGUGGCUUGAGUGGCAGAGAGGAAAGUGGAAUUCCCGGUGUAGUAGUGAAAUGCGUAGAUAUCGGGAGGAACACCAGUGGCGAAGGCGACUUUCUGGCUGCUAACUGACACUGAGACGCGAAAGCUAGGGGAGCGAACGGG
This 253-nucleotide ribosomal RNA is filed under the name uncultured bacterium. RNAcentral's name for it is "partial 16S ribosomal RNA". It matches the Rfam family "Bacterial small subunit ribosomal RNA", at positions 524 to 776 of the family's 1533-position model. The record is from RNAcentral.